RNAcentral lists this ribosomal RNA (451 nucleotides) under uncultured bacterium. RNAcentral describes it as "partial 16S ribosomal RNA". It matches the Rfam family "Bacterial small subunit ribosomal RNA", at positions 339 to 795 of the family's 1533-position model. The record is from RNAcentral.
CUACGGGUUGCUGCAGUAACGAAUAUUGUGCAAUGGGCGAAAGCCUGACACAGCGACGCCGCGUGUAGGAGGAAGUCCCUCGGGAUGUAAACUACUGUCAGGGUGAAGAAAGUCUGUUUCGGCAGAUUGAUCUAACCCGGAGGAAGUCACGGCUAACUUCGUGCCAGCAGCCGCGGUAAGACGAAGGUGGCAAGCGUUGUUCGGUAUUACUGGGCUUAAAGCGUGUGUAGGCGGAUAAAUAAGCGUUUUGUGAAAUCCCUCAGCUCAACUGAGGAAUUGCUUGACGAACUGUUUAUCUUGAGGCAAGUAGGGGUGCACGGAACUCUUGGUGGAGCGGUGGAAUGCGUAGAUAUCAAGAGGAACGCCAGUGGUGAAGACGGUGCACUGGGCUUGUUCUGACGCUGAGACACGAAAGCGUGGGGAGCAAACAGGAUUAGAUACCCCCGUAGUC